This 253-nucleotide ribosomal RNA is filed under the name uncultured bacterium. RNAcentral describes it as "partial 16S ribosomal RNA". It matches the Rfam family "Bacterial small subunit ribosomal RNA", at positions 524 to 776 of the family's 1533-position model. The record is from RNAcentral.
UACGAAGGGGGCAAGCGUUGUUCGGAAUGACUGGGCGUAAAGGGCGCGUAGGCGGUUCGUUGCGUCAGAUGUGAAAGCCCCGGGCUCAACCUGGGAACUGCAUUUGAUACGGGCGGGCUUGAAUCCAAGAGAGGGUGGUGGAAUUCCCAGUGUAGAGGUGAAAUUCGUAGAUAUUGGGAAGAACACCUGUGGCGAAGGCGGCCACCUGGCUUGGUAUUGACGCUGAGGCGCGAAAGCGUGGGGAGCAAACAGG